GGGGGCGUAGCUCAUCUGGUAGAGCAUUUGGUUCGCAAUCAAAGGGUGGUCGGUUCGAGUCCGAUCGUCUCCACAA
Molecule: transfer RNA, 76 nt
Filed under: Treponema saccharophilum DSM 2985
Lineage: Bacteria; Pseudomonadati; Spirochaetota; Spirochaetia; Treponematales; Treponemataceae
Description: tRNA-Ala
Rfam family: tRNA
About the family: Transfer RNA (tRNA) molecules are approximately 80 nucleotides in length. Their secondary structure includes four short double-helical elements and three loops (D, anti-codon, and T loops). Further hydrogen bonds mediate the characteristic L-shaped molecular structure. tRNAs have two regions of fundamental functional importance: the anti-codon, which is responsible for specific mRNA codon recognition, and the 3' end, to which the tRNAs corresponding amino acid is attached (by aminoacyl-tRNA synthetases). tRNAs cope with the degeneracy of the genetic code in two manners: having more than one tRNA (with a specific anti-codon) for a particular amino acid; and 'wobble' base-pairing, i.e. permitting non-standard base-pairing at the 3rd anti-codon position.
Source: RNAcentral